UGGGGAAUAUUGCACAAUGGGCGCAAGCCUGAUGCAGCCAUGCCGCGUGUAUGAAGAAGGCCUUCGGGUUGUAAAGUACUUUCAGCGAGGAGGAAGGCGUUGUGGUUAAUAACCGCAACGAUUGACGUUACUCGCAGAAGAAGCACCGGCUAACUCCGUGCCAGCAGCCGCGGUAAUACGGAGGGUGCAAGCGUUAAUCGGAAUUACUGGGCGUAAAGCGCACUCAGGCGGUCUGUCAAGUCGGAUGUGAAAUCCCCGGGCUCAACCUGGGAACUGCAUCCGAAACUGGCAGGCUAGAGUCUUGUAGAGGGGGGUAGAAUUCCAGGUGUAGCGGUGAAAUGCGUAGAGAUCUGGAGGAAUACCGGUGGCGAAGGCGGCCCCCUGGACAAAGACUGACGCUCAGGUGCGAAAGCGUGGGGAGCAAACA
This 427-nucleotide ribosomal RNA is filed under the name uncultured bacterium. RNAcentral's name for it is "partial 16S ribosomal RNA". It matches the Rfam family "Bacterial small subunit ribosomal RNA", at positions 355 to 774 of the family's 1533-position model. The record is from RNAcentral.